Pelobates cultripes (western spadefoot toad) is the source of this 822-nucleotide non-coding RNA. The record is from the annotation of a GenBank genome assembly. NCBI's taxonomy places the organism in Eukaryota, Metazoa, Chordata, Amphibia, Anura, Pelobatidae.
GGAAAAUUGCCCUGAUGAGAGGAGUGAUGUUGUCCUUAAGAAUUGGUAUGCAUUCCUCAGCAUCAAAGUAAAAACAGUUUUUACCCAGCCUAUGGUGAAUACCUUAGUGAAUACCUUAGUAAAUGGUUUGGAUGCUAAAGUAAAAAAACAAUUGAUGUUAUCCUUACUGGGAUGGCGGGAUAAAUCACUUAAUAUUGUAUUAAGUGCAGCAUCAGAAAUUUGACAAGCUAUUCAAAUCAAGGAAAAUGCAAAAGCUGAGCACAUAAUGCUACAAGCUGAACAAAUGCCUGUUAGAUAUUAUGCACAUCAGCCAAGACAAAACAUAGCCAGAAGACCCCCACAGAAUAAUGUAAGAACAUUUAUCAAAUGUUUCAAUUGUGAUGGAUAUGGUCAUAUAGCAACAGAUUGCAAGGAGGUAAAGGGGGCAAGAAAGCAAUUAGAAGAAAAAGACAGACUAGAUGUAGAGGAAGAUUGGGGUCUGAAUAUGUAUUGUUAGUGUACCUGUGACCCAAGGUCCAGAACCUAUGGUACAUUUGAAAGUAAAUUAAUUGUAUGUGAUACUGAGGGAAGAAGAAGUAAGUGAUUUUGGUGGGGAGAGUGUAUAUUUAGUGGAAGACCAGCAUUGCCAUCAUUGUUUAAUUCUGAAUGGUCAAGGCUGGGCCUAGAAUCUGUAUUGGCACUGGUGUGUUCUUCAUGUGUUAUUUGUUAUACAAUGCAGGUCAGAGACCUAAGAUUAAGCAGCUAAAUCAUCCUCCCUGUCCAUGAGGUCCAUUUGUAAAUUUACAAAUGGACUUCAUUGAAUUACCAAAGGUAAUGCAGUAU